Molecule: ribosomal RNA, 496 nt
Filed under: uncultured bacterium
Lineage: Bacteria
Description: partial 16S ribosomal RNA
Rfam family: Bacterial small subunit ribosomal RNA
Source: RNAcentral
GAUGAACGCUGGCGGCGUGCCUAAUACAUGCAAGUCGAGCGAACAGACGAGGAGCUUGCUCCUCUGACGUUAGCGGCGGACGGGUGAGUAACACGUGGAUAACCUACCUAUAAGACUGGGAUAACUUCGGGAAACCGGAGCUAAUACCGGAUAAUAUAUUGAACCGCAUGGUUCAAUAGUGAAAGACGGUUUUGCUGUCACUUAUAGAUGGAUCCGCGCCGCAUUAGCUAGUUGGUAAGGUAACGGCUUACCAAGGCAACGAUGCGUAGCCGACCUGAGAGGGGGAUCGGCCACACUGGAACUGAGACACGGUCCAGACUCCUACGGGAGGCAGCAGUAGGGAAUCUUCCGCAAUGGGCGAAAGCUUGACGGAGCAACGCCGCGUGAGUGAUGAAGGUCUGCGGAUCGUAAAACGCUGUUAUUAGGGAAGAACAAAUGUGUAAGUAACUAUGCACGUCUUGACGGUACCUAAUCAGAAAGCCACGGCUAACUACGU